UGGAAGGGAUGUAUUUAUUAGAUUAAAAACCAAUGCCCUUCGGGGCUCUCUGGUGAUUCAUAAUAACUUCUCGAAUCGCACGGCCUUGCGCCGGCGAUGGUUCAUUCAAAUUUCUGCCCUAUCAACUUUCGACGGCUGGGUCUUGGCCAGCCAUGGUGACAACGGGUAACGGAGGGUUAGGGCUCGACCCCGGAGAAGGAGCCUGAGAAACGGCUACUACAUCCAAGGAAGGCAGCAGGCGCGCAAAUUACCCAAUCCCGACACGGGGAGGUAGUGACAAUAAAUACUGAUACAGGGCUCUUUCGGGUCUUGUAAUUGGAAUGAGUACAAUUUAAAUCCCUUAACGAGGAACAAUUGGAGGGCAAGUCUGGUGCCAGCAGCCGCGGUAAUUCCAGCUCCAAUAGCGUAUAUUAAAGUUGUUGAGGUUAAAAAGCUCGUAGUUGAACCUUGGGCCUAGCCGGCCGGUCCGCCUCACCGCGUGCACUGGCUCGGCUGGGUCUUUCCUUCUGGAGAACCGCAUGCCCUUCACUGGGUGUGCCGGGGAACCAGGACUUUUAC
Molecule: ribosomal RNA, 558 nt
Filed under: uncultured Madurella
Lineage: Eukaryota; Fungi; Ascomycota
Description: SSU rRNA
Rfam family: Eukaryotic small subunit ribosomal RNA
Source: RNAcentral